This 427-nucleotide ribosomal RNA is filed under the name uncultured bacterium. RNAcentral's name for it is "bacterial SSU rRNA". It matches the Rfam family "Bacterial small subunit ribosomal RNA", at positions 355 to 774 of the family's 1533-position model. The record is from RNAcentral.
UGGGGAAUUUUGGACAAUGGGGGCAACCCUGAUCCAGCCAUCCCGCGUGUGCGAUGAAGGCCUUCGGGUUGUAAAGCACUUUUGGCAGGGAAGAAACAGCCCGGGCUAAUAUCCCGGGCGACUGACGGUACCUGCAGAAUAAGCACCGGCUAACUACGUGCCAGCAGCCGCGGUAAUACGUAGGGUGCAAGCGUUAAUCGGAAUUACUGGGCGUAAAGCGUGCGCAGGCGGUUCGGAAAGAAAGGUGUGAAAUCCCAGGGCUUAACCUUGGAACUGCACUUUUAACUACCGGGCUAGAGUACGUCAGAGGGGGGUAGAAUUCCACGUGUAGCAGUGAAAUGCGUAGAGAUGUGGAGGAAUACCGAUGGCGAAGGCAGCCCCCUGGGAUGAUACUGACGCUCAUGCACGAAAGCGUGGGGAGCAAACA